AAUGAUUGACAGGGAGCUAAGAUGGAGGUGGCUCUCUCUAUACUGACUGCCAGGUGUAAAGGGCGGAGCUUAUAACAAUGAUUGACAGGGAGCUAAGAUGGAGGUGGCUCUCUCUAUACUGACUGCCAGGUGUAAAGGGCGGAGCUUAUAACAAUGAUUGACAGGGAGCUAAGAUGGAGGUGUCUCUCUCUAUACUGACUGCCAGGUGUAAAGGGCGGAGCUUAUAACAAUGAUUGACAGGGAGCUAAGAUGGAGGCGGCUCUCUCUAUACUGACUGCCAGGUGUAAAGGGCGGAGCUUAUAACAAUGAUUGACAGGGAGCUAAGAUGGAGGUGGCUCUCUAUACUGACUGCCAGGUGUAAAGGGCGGAGCUUAUAACAAUGAUUGACAGGGAGCUAAGAUGGAGGCGGCUCUCUCUAUACUGACUGCCAGGUGUAAAGGGCGGAGCUUAUAACAAUGAUUGACAGGGAGCUAAGAUGGAGGCGGCUCUCUCUAUACUGACUGCCAGGUGUAAAGGGCGGAGCUUAUAACAAUGAUUGACAGGGAGCUAAGAUGGAGGUUGCUCUCUCUAUACUGACUGCCAGGUGUAAAGGGCGGAGCUUAUAACAAUGAUUGACAGGGAGCUAAGAUGGAGG
Non-coding RNA from Pelobates cultripes (western spadefoot toad), 634 nucleotides. The record is from the annotation of a GenBank genome assembly. Lineage: Eukaryota; Metazoa; Chordata; Amphibia; Anura; Pelobatidae.